UACGGGGGGGGCAAGCGUUGUUCGGAAUUACUGGGCGUAAAGGGCUCGUAGGCGGCCAACUAAGUCAUACGUGAAAUCCCUCGGCUUAACCGGGGAACUGCGUCUGAUACUGGAUGGCUUGAGUUCGGGAGAGGGAUGCGGAAUUCCAGGUGUAGCGGUGAAAUGCGUAGAUAUCUGGAGGAACACCGGUGGCGAAGGCGGCAUCCUGGACCGAUACUGACGCUGAGGAGCGAAAGCCAGGGGAGCAAAC
This 250-nucleotide ribosomal RNA is filed under the name uncultured bacterium. RNAcentral's name for it is "partial 16S ribosomal RNA". It matches the Rfam family "Bacterial small subunit ribosomal RNA", at positions 524 to 773 of the family's 1533-position model. The record is from RNAcentral.